Molecule: microRNA, 22 nt
Filed under: Oreochromis niloticus (Nile tilapia)
Lineage: Eukaryota; Metazoa; Chordata; Actinopteri; Cichliformes; Cichlidae
Description: oni-miR-10606
Source: miRBase by way of RNAcentral
UGCAAAUCAGAACGCGGCACGA